CAGUAGCCAGGCUGCCUCUGGCAGUUUCACACACAAAUGACUAAACACAUCGACUCUGGAAAUAGAUGCUGCCAUAAUUGGAUGUUACCAGAUUUGGAAGUCCCGUGAGAGAUCACCUGACCCAAGUUCCCCUAUUUUGGAGACGGAGAACCCGAGAUUCCACCCGAAAUUCGUGGCCAUUCAGCUGACCUAUGGGAGUGCGAGUAAAAAUAUAGUAAGAAGACAGAUGUGCGAGAAGUACUUUCACUGAAAAACGUCAUUGAAAUGAUCCAGGAAGCACCAGCAUGAACACUUGUAUGAAGAGUAUCAACAGCUUAGAGGAUGAUCCAGCAUCUCCAGCACUCUUGAUGCCUGGAAGAUACAGUGUGGGAAACACACAGCCAGCAGCAAUUAUGAGUCAAAAAGAGACUCACGGAGUCAGACUUGGAAUGUGAAGAAGUUUAGAAAUAUCUUAACCAAUUUUUUCACUUGUACCUUCCUUUUUAUACGUGUGUAAGAGUGCUGUAUAAUAAAACCUAUAUCACCA
Long non-coding RNA from Manis javanica (Malayan pangolin), 526 nucleotides. RefSeq lists it as uncharacterized. Lineage: Eukaryota; Metazoa; Chordata; Mammalia; Pholidota; Manidae. The record is from RefSeq and is a predicted model, not a curated record.